AUGUGCUCACUCUCCUGAAUAGGGUUAAGGUGCUCAUAAAAUUGAAGUGCUCUCUUUUGAACUUUAAUAAUUAGUGGGUAUUGUCCUAAUUCUGCUCUGCGUGCAUUGUUCGG
This is a long non-coding RNA of Thalassophryne amazonica, 113 nucleotides long. RefSeq lists it as uncharacterized. The transcript has 3 exons. The record is from RefSeq and is a predicted model, not a curated record. NCBI's taxonomy places the organism in Eukaryota, Metazoa, Chordata, Actinopteri, Batrachoidiformes, Batrachoididae.